GGUUCUUUAAAAUUAAUUGUGGUGUCAAAAUAUUAUUUGAUUUAUUUCUUUCUUUCAUAAUUUAUUAUAAUGUGCUUUCAGCAUUUUAUUUUUAUCAUCAGCUUCAUUUUGUAGCUAAUUUGAAUAUUUAUAUCUGUGUUGCUAACUCAAAAUUCGCUUUAGUAUAUUUUAUUUCUGUAAAGGAAAACUCGUGUUUAGCA
Molecule: long non-coding RNA, 200 nt
Filed under: Physcomitrium patens
Lineage: Eukaryota; Viridiplantae; Streptophyta; Bryopsida; Funariales; Funariaceae
Description: long non-coding RNA (PPAT_LNC002769)
Source: RNAcentral